UAGCAUAUCAAUAAGCGGAGGAAAAGAAACCAACAGGGAUUGCUCAGUAACGGCGAGUGAAGCGGCAUCAGCUCAAAUUGAAAUCUGGCUCUUUAGAGUCCGAGUUGUAAUUUGCAGAGGGCGCUUUGGCAUAGGCAGCGAUUCAAGUUCCUUGGAACAGGACGUCACAGAGGGUGAGAAUCCCGUACGUGGUCGCUAGCUCUUGCCGUGUAAAGCCCCUUCGACGAGUCGAGUUGUUUGGGAAUGCAGCUCUAAAUGGGAGGUAAAUUUCUUCUAAAGCUAAAUAUUGGCCAGAGACCGAUAGCGCACAAGUAGAGUGAUCGAAAGAUGAAAAAAACUUUGGAAAGAGAGUUAAACAGCAUGUGAAAUUGUUGAAAGGGAAGCGCUUGCAGCCAGACUUGCCUGUAGUUGCUCAUCCGGGCUCUUGCCCGGUGCACUCUUCUGUAGGCAGGCCAGCAUCAGUUUGGGCGGUUGGAUAAAGGUCUCUGUCAUGUACCUCUCUUCGGGGAGGCCUUAUAGGGGAGGCGACAUACAACCAGCCUAGACUGAGGUCCGCGCAUUCGUGCUAGGAUGCUGGCGUAAUGGCUGUAAGCGGCCCGUCUUGAAACACGGACCAAGGAGUCUAACAUCUAUGCGAGUGUUUGGGUGUCAAGCCCGAGCGCGUAAUGAAAGUGAACGGAGGUGGGAACCCCUCGGGGUGCACCAUCGACCGAUCCUGAUGUCUUCGGAAGGAUUUGAGUAAGAGCAUGGCUGUUGGGACCCGAAAGAUGGUGAACUAUGCUUGAAUAGGGUGAAGCCAGAGGAAACUCUGGUGGAGGCUCGCAGCGGUUCUGACGUGCAAAUCGAUCGUCAAAUUUGGGCAUAGGGGCGAAAGACUAAUCGAACAUGCC
This 890-nucleotide ribosomal RNA is filed under the name Comoclathris lini. Its description in RNAcentral is "eukaryotic LSU rRNA". It matches the Rfam family "Eukaryotic large subunit ribosomal RNA", at positions 36 to 945 of the family's 3401-position model. The record is from RNAcentral. Lineage: Eukaryota; Fungi; Ascomycota; Dothideomycetes; Pleosporales; Pleosporaceae.